This 492-nucleotide ribosomal RNA is filed under the name uncultured bacterium. RNAcentral's name for it is "partial 16S ribosomal RNA". It matches the Rfam family "Bacterial small subunit ribosomal RNA", at positions 29 to 507 of the family's 1533-position model. The record is from RNAcentral.
AGUGAACGCUGGCGGUAGGCCUAACACAUGCAAGUCGAACGGCAGCACAGUAAGAGCUUGCUCUUACGGGUGGCGAGUGGCGGACGGGUGAGGAAUACAUCGGAAUCUACUUUUUCGUGGGGGAUAACGUAGGGAAACUUACGCUAAUACCGCAUACGACCUACGGGUGAAAGCAGGGGAUCUUCGGACCUUGCGCGAUUGAAUGAGCCGAUGUCGGAUUAGCUAGUUGGCGGGGUAAAGGCCCACCAAGGCGACGAUCCGUAGCUGGUCUGAGAGGAUGAUCAGCCACACUGGAAGUGGGACACGGUCCAGACUCCUACGGGAGGCAGCAGUGGGGAAUAUUGGACAAUGGGCGCAAGCCUGAUCCAGCCAUACCGCGUGGGUGAAGAAGGCCUUCGGGUUGUAAAGCCCUUUUGUUGGGAAAGAAAAGCAGCAGGUUAAUAACCCGCUGUUCUGACGGUACCCAAAGAAUAAGCACCGGCUAACUUCGUG